CCUACGGGGGGCAGCAGUGGGGAAUAUUGCACAAUGGGGGAAACCCUGAUGCAGCGACGCCGCGUGAAGGAUGAAGUAUUUCGGUAUGUAAACUUCUAUCAGCAGGGAAGAAAGUGACGGUACCUGACUAAGAAGCCCCGGCUAACUACGUGCCAGCAGCCGCGGUAAUACGUAGGGGGCAAGCGUUAUCCGGAUUUACUGGGUGUAAAGGGAGCGUAGACGGGAUAGCAAGUCUGAAGUGAAAGCCCGGGGCUCAACCCCGGGACUGCUUUGGAAACUGUUGACCUGGAGUGCUGGAGAGGCAAGUGGAAUUCCUAGUGUAGCGGUGAAAUGCGUAGAUAUUAGGAGGAACACCAGUGGCGAAGGCGGCGUGCUGGACAGUGACUGACGUUGAGGCUCGAAAGCGUGGGGAGCAAACAGGAUUAGAUACCCUUGUAGUC
This 440-nucleotide ribosomal RNA is filed under the name uncultured bacterium. RNAcentral's name for it is "bacterial SSU rRNA". It matches the Rfam family "Bacterial small subunit ribosomal RNA", at positions 338 to 795 of the family's 1533-position model. The record is from RNAcentral.